UGUCUGAUAUAGUAUUUUUACUACAAAAGCGAUAUUACGUAGGUCAAAAUUUUUGACGUAAGAGAACUGUCAAAACAUUAGAAUGUGACUUUUCUUUAUUGCCGUGUUUACAUGGCAAUAAUGAAAAGUCACAAUCUAAUGUUUUGACAGUUCUCUUACGUCAAAAAUUUUGACCUACGUAAUAUCGCUUUUGUAGUAAAAAUACUAUAAAUUCCCCGCGAACGCACUCGGGUCAUUCAACUGUGUUUCAUCUCUUCAAUGCACACUCUUCCGUCCUGGAUGAAUUUACUCAUAGUCCUCCAAAUACCCUGGAGGUUUUCUUAUUCGAGCUGGUGGCUUCUUGACCUCAGAGGCCUGUUCUCGAAGUUCUGAUUCUGGAUCUACCAAAUCGUUAAGGCCCCGUCUCACCAUCAAAUAAUUAGGUCUGUUCCUUUGUUUUUUAGUGUUACACUUUUGAGUGUAAGUGUACGAAAUUCUAUGGACAUUUGAGUGUAAAAUGACAGCGGAUGUGACAGCGGCUCAUGACAGCGGACAGUAUUAAACGAAAAUUAUCGGUGUGCCAAUCCAAGCAAAGGGAUAAGGAACUUCCGAAUAUGGCCUAACUGGGGGCACAUAACAUAACAUAACCUAAUCCUAAUAUUUACAUUUGUAAAGAAUAUCCUGUUUGUUUUUAUUGUCGAUUGUUCAGCGAAAUUGUGUGCAGCAAAUCAAAUAUAAAGUAGUUUAUCGCCUACAGAACUGAAUUAAUCCAUAGCAGUUAUCAGUUUUUCUUUCUUGGGAAGCUUAUACAUGUAACUUGUAUUGUUGUAAAUUGUGGGAGUAGGGCAGACAGGGAAAAGUCUUAUUUUGUACUGUUCCCAAGGCUCCCCAUGCAAUACAUUUAAAUGAAUUAUCCAAACAAAGCUGGGGACAAUGGAUAAAAGCCACAAGAAGAACAGAUAUAAGGGAACUAAAAUUAAAAUAUGAAAAGUAAACAUUUUAUAAGUGGAACAACCACCAGAUAUUUAAAAGGUAUAAAAAGAAGAAACUGCUGGAAUUUCAAAACAAAUGUGUUUGACUAGUAAAGAUUUGGAUAAAUAACAGGAGUUACUUUGGGCUAUAGCUAAGUGCAGAUUUAUUUCCUUGUGGCUUCCUAUGUUAAUUCUUAUUAAUUAUACACUUAAAUAUGUUUUUAGUCUCAGGAAGAUUUUAUAUUUGAUUAUUUUUGAAUAAACAUUAUUAUUAUUAUUACCUUAAUUUCCAUUAAAUAAAUUAACUGUAAUCAAUAAAGUAAUCGUUUAAUUGUUAAUAAAUUAUCAAGUAUGA
Long non-coding RNA from Diabrotica virgifera virgifera (western corn rootworm), 1305 nucleotides. RefSeq lists it as uncharacterized. Lineage: Eukaryota; Metazoa; Arthropoda; Insecta; Coleoptera; Chrysomelidae. The transcript is spliced from 2 exons. The record is from RefSeq and is a predicted model, not a curated record.